This 237-nucleotide long non-coding RNA is filed under the name Spirodela polyrhiza (greater duckweed). RNAcentral describes it as "long non-coding RNA (SPOL_LNC000191)". The record is from RNAcentral. Lineage: Eukaryota; Viridiplantae; Streptophyta; Magnoliopsida; Alismatales; Araceae.
CGGCAGAAAGGCGAAGGCUGGCGUUGGUGGGCAACGAGGAGAGGAUGGCGGCGGACAGGCGAUUGCGGCUGGCGGGGGAUGUAGACGGUGGUGAGGGGCGACGGUAAGCGAUGGCGGCUGAGCGGAAGGUAAUGGCAGCGGCAGCUGGAAGACGACGGCAGUGCAGGGGGUAGUGGCUGGCGGCGAUAAAAGGAAGAGAAGGGAGGGGGAAGGGUGCUCCAGACCGGGAGUAGGGGG